RNAcentral lists this ribosomal RNA (389 nucleotides) under uncultured bacterium. RNAcentral's name for it is "bacterial SSU rRNA". It matches the Rfam family "Bacterial small subunit ribosomal RNA", at positions 28 to 418 of the family's 1533-position model. The record is from RNAcentral.
GACGAACGCUGGCGGCGUGCUUAACACAUGCAAGUCGAGCGGUAAGGCCCUUUCGGGGGUACACGAGCGGCGAACGGGUGAGUAACACGUGGGUGACCUGCCUCUAGCUCUGGGAUAAGCCUGGGAAGCUGGGUCUAAUACCGGAUAUGACCUCGCGGUGCAUGUUGCGGGGUGGAAAGCCUUGUGCGGCUAGGGAUGGGCCCGCGGCCUAUCAGCUUGUUGGUGGGGUGAUGGCCUACCAAGGCGACGACGGGUAGCCGGCCUGAGAGGGCGACCGGCCACACUGGGACUGAGACACGGCCCAGACUCCUACGGGAGGCAGCAGUGGGGAAUCUUGCGCAAUGGGCGAAAGCCUGACGCAGCGACGCCGCGUGAGGGAUGACGGCCUC